This 1626-nucleotide long non-coding RNA is filed under the name Coturnix japonica (Japanese quail). RNAcentral describes it as "lncRNA (ENSCJPG00005002352.1)". Lineage: Eukaryota; Metazoa; Chordata; Aves; Galliformes; Phasianidae. The record is from RNAcentral.
CCAAAAGACCCCUCCCCCCCCAUAUCCCUCCAUAUCCCCCCCAUUGCACCCCCAUUUUUCUCCCCCCCCAGGCCAUGCGCCUCCAGGCUCCUCACAGCCCCUGGGCGCCGCUGCUAGGGGGGGCGGCCUGUUCCCUGUUGGCUGAGGGGGUGGGGGAUGCGGCCACGCGCUGGGUCCUGCCCUUCACCGCGGGGGGCUUCAUCUACGUGGGCACCUGUUCCGUCCUCCCACAACUGCUACAGAGAGGACGACCCCGUCCAGUCCCUGCUGCAGCUCAUGGCGCUGCUGGCCGGGGUGGCCAUGAUGGCCGCCAUCGCUCAGUGGGAGUAAUGGGGGUCUAUGGGGCAGGAUGGGAGGGAUAUGGGGUGAUAUAGGGGGGAUAUGGGGGGUAUAUGGGGGUCUUUUUGUAGGAGAUGAUCAAUAAAAGAGUGAUUGAUGACAUCUAUGGGGACCCAAUGGGGAUUCUAUGGGACUUGGAGGACCCCAAUAGGACAUGGAGACCCUAAUAGGACAUGGAGACCCUAAUAUGACAUGGGGACACUAUGGGGACCCAAUGGGACCCAAUGGGACAUGGAAGACCCCAAUGGGACAUAGAAGGCCCCAAUGGGACAUGGGGACCCUAAUAGGACAUGGGGGACCCCAAUGGGACACGGAGACACCAUGGGGACCCAAUGGGACAUGGAAGACCCCAAUGGGACAUGGGGACCCCAAUGGGACAUGGGGACCCUAUGGGAACCCAAUGGGACAUAGAAGACCCCAAUGGGACAUGGGGACCCUAAUAGGACAUGGGGGACCCCAAUGGGACACAGAGACACUAUGGGACCCCAAUGGGACAUGGAAGACCCCAAUAGGACAUGGGGGACCCCAAUGGGACAUGGGGACACUAUGGGGACCCAAUGGGACAUGGGGACCCUAAUAGGAUAUGGGGGACCCCAAUGGGACAUGGGGACACUAUGGGNCCCAAUGGGACAUGGGGACACUAUGGGGACCCAAUGGGACAUGGGGACCCUAAUAGGAUAUGGGGGACCCCAAUGGGACAUGGGGACACUAUGGGACCCCAAUGGAACCCAAUGGGACAUAGAAGACCCCAAUGGGAACCCAAUGGGACAUAGAAGACCCCAAUGGGAACCCAAUGGGACAUGGAAGACCCCAAUGGGGACCCAAUGUGACAUGAGGAUCCUAAUAGGACAUGGGGGGUAUUUUAUGGGGUAUUUUAUGGGGUAUAUGGGGUAUGUUAUGGGGUAUAUGGGGUAUUUAUGGGGUAUAUGGGGUAUGUUAUGGGGUAUUUAUGGGGUAUAUGGGGUAUUUAUGGGGUAUAUGGGGUAUUUAUGGGGUAUAUGGGGUAUGUUAUGGGGUAUAUGGGGUAUUUAUGGGGUAUAUGGGGUAUGUUAUGGGGUAUAUGGGGUAUGUUAUGGGGUUGAGGGUAUAUUAUGGGGUCAGAAGAAUAUUAUAGGGUCGGAGACUCAGUCCAUAUACACAACAUCCAUUUUAUUGUGGGUCCCAAUGUGGGGGUCCAUCCAUUGGGAUGUUAUGGGGUAUAUGGGGUAUAUGGGGUAUUUAUGGGGUAUCUAUGGGGUCUCUAUGGGGUCUCUAUGGGGCGGCCUUGCCCUGCGCCCUGUGCUGUAG